RNAcentral lists this transfer RNA (66 nucleotides) under Ictidomys tridecemlineatus (thirteen-lined ground squirrel). RNAcentral's name for it is "Spermophilus tridecemlineatus (thirteen-lined ground squirrel) tRNA". It matches the Rfam family "tRNA". Rfam says of the family: Transfer RNA (tRNA) molecules are approximately 80 nucleotides in length. Lineage: Eukaryota; Metazoa; Chordata; Mammalia; Rodentia; Sciuridae. The record is from Rfam by way of RNAcentral.
GAUAUAGCUCAGUUGGUAGAGUGCUUGCCUUGCAUGCACAAGGACCUGGGUUCAAUCCCCAGCAUC